AUGGCCGGAAGCAGCCUCUGGGUGGUUCGAUUGGCUUCCCUUCUUGCAGUCGGAUUCGUGGUCGGCUCCGUCGAGGCCAGCCCGGGAGAUGCUCAUCCGCUGUACAGAACUUGUGUGAAGGAGUGUAAGAAUACAGGGGUUAUUGGAAGUAACAUCAUCAGCCACUGUCAGUCCCAGGAGAAUGACAGCACAUCUGCCGGAAGUUCUUGGUACACACAGGAGCCCCUUUACAUGCAGUGGAAGCACCAAAGCUGUAUGUCAGACUGCCGCUACUACUGCAUGAUACGAAGAGAAGAGGAACGGCAAUUAGGUGGCCUGAGCCCUGUUAAAUAUCAUGGAAAAUGGCCCUUCAAACGUGUUUCUGUCUUCCAGGAGCCCCUUUCAGCUGCACUGUCUGCUCUCAACCUAUUGACGCACUUCAUUGGCUGGCUUUCAUUCUUCCUCCAAGUGAAUUACAGAUUACCUCUUAGACCUCAGACGAAGAGGACAUACUACGAAUACACUGGCCUGUGGCAUAUCUAUGCAAUAUUAUCACUGAAUGCAUGGUUCUGGAGCACUAUAUUCCAUACUAGGGAUAUUGACUUGACUGAGAAACUGGAUUACUCUUCAGCUGUGGCCCAACUUGGCUACUCUUUAAUCCUUACAUUGCUAAGAACUUUUAAUGUCAAGGAUGAGGCUGGCAGGGUGAUGUUUGCUGCACCUAUUCUAGCAUUCGUUACAACACACAUCUUGUAUCUUAACUUCUAUGAACUUGACUAUGGAUGGAACAUGAAAGUCUGUGUGGCAAUGGGUGUUGUUCACAUUGUGGCAUGGACAACCUGGGCUGUUGUGACCCAUCAUCCGUCACGAUUCAAGGUUUGGAUCGUCAUAUUCGGAGGAGCUCUAGCUAUGCUUCUUGAAGUGUAUGACUUUCCUCCAUACAAGGGGUAUGCCGAUGCACAUUCGCUGUGGCACGCGAGCACCAUUCCUCUCACCUAUCUUUGGUGGACCUUCGUUAGAGACGAUGCAGAGUUCCGCACCUCCACACUUGUUAAGAAGGCCAAGUAG
RNAcentral lists this ribosomal RNA (1047 nucleotides) under Triticum aestivum (bread wheat). RNAcentral's name for it is "partial small subunit ribosomal RNA". Lineage: Eukaryota; Viridiplantae; Streptophyta; Magnoliopsida; Poales; Poaceae. The record is from RNAcentral.